Molecule: long non-coding RNA, 407 nt
Organism: Brassica oleracea var. oleracea
Lineage: Eukaryota; Viridiplantae; Streptophyta; Magnoliopsida; Brassicales; Brassicaceae
Exons: 2
Source: RefSeq, a predicted model, not a curated record
UCUUAAACUUGCAAACCAAUUGUGUUUUCUUCAAGACGACAAAAUGAGUUUCACAAAGAUGUUUGUAACUUACUUUUUUGUGGUUGUAUUGGUUAUUUCUGUUUCCAUCCAACCCCAUAAGGCGUCCGAUAGCACAAAGAAAUAUAUUCCCGUUGGUGUUACAUGCUUAAGUAUUAUAUGUACGAGUACAUAUACAUCGAGAGAAUGUGAGGGUUAUUGCAUAUCAAAUGGGUACAAUAAUGGAGAAUGUCGUCCUUUGGAUCUUGUUAAACCAGUAGCACCUGAGCAUUGUUGUUGUUAUUAUGUAAAACGUUGAUCUGUUAAAUUUCUUAUUCUUACCUUUGCUAUGAGAAGUAUGUGAUUUUAGUAUAACAAAAUCCCAUCAAAUAAAAAUUCCUUUAGUUAGG